UGAUAAGUUAUCCAUUCAAAUUCAAACAUGCUUUGAAUUUGAAUGGCUAACUAAUUAUUUUAUCCAUCCAUAUGGCACACAAAUGAGGGUGUGGGGAAGGUUUUGCAUGAGAAAAAUUUCACGAGAAGUUUCUUCUCGUGAAUUCAAAUGGGUGCAAGGAAGUUGGGUGUCGCAGAGAAUUUAAAACAAGGUGGUUUGAUUCAAAUUGAGCCAACCUAGUUUAAAAUAGGUUAAGCACAAUUAGACCAGAUUAAACCCAACAUAAUUAGGCUUAAUUAGGCUCAAUAAAAUCUUAAUCAAAUCAGAAAUUAACUAAAUCUAACCUCUGAUCAAAUCAGGGACUAAACCACCUUAGCGAUUAGGUCAACAUUUAACCUAAUCGGGUCAAUCCAAACUGAAUCCAAUUCAAUUGGACUUGAUCCAAAAAUAAUUACUCAAUCAAAUUGAGUUAAUUAGUAAUUAAAUCACUAAUUAAACUUCUCAUAAAUAUUGAGUCCAAAUCCGAUGGGCAAUCAGGCAUCUGAGACCAUCGAUAUGAAACCCUGAUCAAAGAGUUCAAAUUUCAAAUUCAAAAUUUGAAAUUCAAAAUUUUGACCCUGGUACCCAAAAUGUGUGGAACUCAUGAUUAGAGAAUCUUAAUUCUCAAUCAUAAAGUCCCAGAUAGAUAAGACUCAUAAUCAGCCAUCAGAUCAGAAAGGAACCUCUAAUGUGUGUGACCCCGCAGGUUCGAACCUAAACCGGUAGUACAGGAACC
RNAcentral lists this long non-coding RNA (754 nucleotides) under Elaeis guineensis (African oil palm). RNAcentral describes it as "long non-coding RNA (EGUI_LNC052340)". Lineage: Eukaryota; Viridiplantae; Streptophyta; Magnoliopsida; Arecales; Arecaceae. The record is from RNAcentral.